GCCUAGCCCUAAACCUUGGUAAUAUAUCACAUAUCCUACCCGCCUGGGAACUACGAGCACCAGCUUAAAACCCAAAGGACUUGGCGGUGCUUUAGACCCCCCUAGAGGAGCCUGUUCUAGAACCGAUAACCCCCGUUCAACCUCACCCUUCCUUGUUUAUCCCGCCUAUAUACCGCCGUCGUCAGCUUACCCUGUGAAGGGCUAAAAGUAAGCAAAACUGGCACAACCCAAAACGUCAGGUCGAGGUGUAGCGCAUGGAGGGGGAAGAAAUGGGCUACAUUCCCUAUAUUAGGGAACACGAACGGCGCACUGAAACACGCGCCUGAAGGAGGAUUUAGUAGUAAGCGGAAAAUAGCGUGUUCCGCUGAAAUCGGCCCUGAAGCGCGC
This 387-nucleotide ribosomal RNA is filed under the name Sebastes alutus (Pacific ocean perch). Its description in RNAcentral is "partial 12S ribosomal RNA". It matches the Rfam family "Bacterial small subunit ribosomal RNA", at positions 794 to 1384 of the family's 1533-position model. The record is from RNAcentral. Lineage: Eukaryota; Metazoa; Chordata; Actinopteri; Perciformes; Sebastidae.